GAGUUUGAUCCUGGCUCAGAUUGAACGCUGGCGGCAGGCCUAACACAUGCAAGUCGAGCGGAUGACGGGAGCUUGCUCCUUGAUUCAGCGGCGGACGGGUGAGUAAUGCCUAGGAAUCUGCCUGGUAGUGGGGGACAACGUUUCGAAAGGAACGCUAAUACCGCAUACGUCCUACGGGAGAAAGCAGGGGACCUUCGGGCCUUGCGCUAUCAGAUGAGCCUAGGUCGGAUUAGCUAGUUGGUGGGGUAAUGGCUCACCAAGGCGACGAUCCGUAACUGGUCUGAGAGGAUGAUCAGUCACACUGGAACUGAGACACGGCCCAGACUCCUACGGGAGGCAGCAGUGGGGAAUAUUGGACAAUGGGCGAAAGCCUGAUCCAGCCAUGCCGCGUGUGUGAAGAAGGUCUUCGGAUUGUAAAGCACUUUAAGUUGGGAGGAAGGGCAGUAAGUUAAUACCUUGACUGUUUUGACGUUACCGACAGAAUAAGCACCGGCUAACUCUGUGCCAGCAG
This 511-nucleotide ribosomal RNA is filed under the name bacterium enrichment culture clone ALO1_GLFRUDD03HHZ2M. RNAcentral's name for it is "bacterial SSU rRNA". It matches the Rfam family "Bacterial small subunit ribosomal RNA", at positions 9 to 514 of the family's 1533-position model. The record is from RNAcentral.